This 497-nucleotide ribosomal RNA is filed under the name uncultured bacterium. RNAcentral describes it as "partial 16S ribosomal RNA". It matches the Rfam family "Bacterial small subunit ribosomal RNA", at positions 28 to 507 of the family's 1533-position model. The record is from RNAcentral.
GAUGAACGCUGGCGGCGUGCCUAAUACAUGCAAGUCGAGCGAACAGACGAGGAGCUUGCUCCUCUGACGUUAGCGGCGGACGGGUGAGUAACACGUGGAUAACCUACCUAUAAGACUGGGAUAACUUCGGGAAACCGGAGCUAAUACCAGAUAAUAUAUUGAACCGCAUGGUUCAAUAGUGAAAGACGGUUUUGCUGUCACUUAUAGAUGGAUCCGCGCCGCAUUAGCUAGUUGGUAAGGUAACGGCUUACCAAGGCAACGAUGCGUAGCCGACCUGAGAGGGUGAUCGGCCACACUGGAACUGAGACACGGUCCAGACUCCUACGGGAGGCAGCAGUAGGGAAUCUUCCGCAAUGGGCGAAAGCCUGACGGAGCAACGCCGCGUGAGUGAUGAAGGUCUUCGGAUCGUAAAACUCUGUUAUUAGGGAAGAACAAAUGUGUAAGUAACUAUGCACGUCUUGACGGUACCUAAUCAGAAAGCCACGGCUAACUACGUG